UAUAGAUUUUAUUUAUUAAUUUAAUUUAUUUAAUAAAAUAUAUUAUUAAAAAUAAUUAUAAAAUUAAUUGUUUAAGUAUUAUUUUAAGAAUAAAUAAUUUUUAUUAUAGUGUAUUAGUAUUGUAAAAUAAAAUUGAAAUAAUUUGAAAAAUUUUUAUAUUAAAAGAAAAUUUAAUUUAUUGUACCUUUUGUAUCAGGGUUUAUUAAAUAAAUAAUAAAUAUUUAUUUUUCUCGAUUUUAAAAGAGUUAAUUAAUUUUAAAAUUUAAUGUGACAAAAUUAUUUUUAAAAAUUAAUUUGAAAUGAAAUGUUAUUCGUUUUUAAAGGUAUCUAGUUUUUUAAGAAAUGAAUUUAAUUCAAAAAUUAUAAAUUAUUUGUUUUAUUUAUUAAUAAAAUAAUUUUUUAAUUUUAAUAUUUUACGGGAUGAGCUGUAAAAUAUUUAUUAUAAAUCUUAAAUAAUAAUUAAAUAAAUGUAGGCUUAGAAUUAGCCACCAUUAAUAAAUUUGUUAUAAUUUAUUUUUAAAUUUAUAUUAUUUAAUUUGUUUUAAUUUUCUAUUAAAAUGUUAUUUUUAAUUUAAAAAAUUAAUUAAUAAUGAUAAAAUUAGUAUAUUAUAUUGUAUUUAAUAAUUUUUAGUGAUAAGUUUUAAUAAAGAACUCGGCAAAUUAAUAUUCGCCUGUUUAACAAAAACAUGUCUUUUUGAAUUUAUUAAAAAGUCUAACCUGCCCAAUGAAUUUUUAAUGGCCGCAGUAUUUUGACUGUGCAAAGGUAGCAUAAUCAUUAGUUUUUUAAUUGAAGGCUGGAAUGAAUGGUUGGACGAGAUAUUAACUGUUUCAUUAAAAUUUAUAAUAGAAUUUUAUUUUUUAGUCAAAAAGCUAAAAUUUAUUUAAAAGACGAGAAGACCCUAUAAAUCUUUAUAUUUUGUUUAUUUAAAUUAUAUAGAUUUCAAUUAUUUUUUUUAAAUUAAAAUAUUUUAUUGGGGUGAUAUUAAAAUUAAAAAAACUUUUAAUUUUUAUUACAUUUAUUUAUGAAUAAUUGAUCCAUUAUUAAUGAUUAAAAAAUUAAGUUACUUUAGGGAUAACAGCGUAAUUUUUUUUGGAGAGUUCAUAUCGAUAAAAAAGAUUGCGACCUCGAUGUUGGAUUAAGGUAUAAUUUUAGGUGUAGAAGUUUAAAAUUUAAGUCUGUUCGACUUUUUAUCCUUACAUGAUCUGAGUUCAAACCGGUGUAAGCCAGGUUGGUUUCUAUCUUUAAUAAACUAAUAUAUUUUAGUACGAAAGGACCAAAUAUAUAAAUAAUUAUAUUUUUAUUAUGAAUAUUAUUAAUU
RNAcentral lists this ribosomal RNA (1319 nucleotides) under Chromatomyia horticola (garden pea leafminer). RNAcentral describes it as "16S ribosomal RNA". The record is from RNAcentral. Lineage: Eukaryota; Metazoa; Arthropoda; Insecta; Diptera; Agromyzidae.